RNAcentral lists this ribosomal RNA (504 nucleotides) under uncultured bacterium. RNAcentral's name for it is "bacterial SSU rRNA". It matches the Rfam family "Bacterial small subunit ribosomal RNA", at positions 107 to 607 of the family's 1533-position model. The record is from RNAcentral.
UGAGUAAUGUCUGGGAAACUGCCCGAUGGAGGGGGAUAACUACUGGAAACGGUAGCUAAUACCGCAUAACGUCUUCGGACCAAAGUGGGGGACCUUCGGGCCUCACACCAUCGGAUGUGCCCAGAUGGGAUUAGCUAGUAGGUGGGGUAAUGGCUCACCUAGGCGACGAUCCCUAGCUGGUCUGAGAGGAUGACCAGCCACACUGGAACUGAGACACGGUCCAGACUCCUACGGGAGGCAGCAGUGGGGAAUAUUGCACAAUGGGCGCAAGCCUGAUGCAGCCAUGCCGCGUGUAUGAAGAAGGCCUUCGGGUUGUAAAGUACUUUCAGUGGGGAGGAAGGCGUUAAGGUUAAUAGCCUUGACGAUUGACGUUACCCGCAGAAGAAGCACCGGCUAACUCCGUGCCAGCAGCCGCGGUAAUACGGAGGGUGCAAGCGUUAAUCGGAAUUACUGGGCGUAAAGCGCACGCAGGCGGUCUGUCAAGUCGGAUGUGAAAUCCCCGGG